Molecule: long non-coding RNA, 290 nt
Organism: Saccostrea cuccullata (small rock oyster)
Lineage: Eukaryota; Metazoa; Mollusca; Bivalvia; Ostreida; Ostreidae
Exons: 3
Source: RefSeq, a predicted model, not a curated record
CUUAUAUCAAAUGGAAAUGUAGGAUGACAAGACAUAUACCUAUCAUUCACGAUGUUCACAUUAAUGGAAUUUAUUGUUGUCACGUGUAUUUGUUUAAUAACGACCAGUGGUCAAGAUGGUCGAUGUGACGGUCCGCUGAUGUGCUGUCGAGGAUUUAAAUACAUUGAAGAAGAAAAUAUAUGUUUGCCGUGUAAAUAUCCAACAUUUGGAUUAGGAUGCAGAGAAAACUGCACUUGUCCUAAGGUAAAUUGUCACAGGGUUAAUGGAUGUUAUAAAUCAGCUACUGAAAA